GGUGAGUAACGCGUAGGUCAUCUGCCCUUUACCGGGACAUAACGUCGGGAAACCGGCGCUAAUAUCCCAUGAGGUACCUCGGUAUCAAAGUUUCGACGGUAGAGGAUGAGCCUGCGUCUGAUUAGCUAGUUGGUAAGGUAAUGGCUUACCAAGGCGACGAUCAGUAGCUGGUCUGAGAGGACGAUCAGCCACACUGGAACUGAGACACGGUCCAGACUCCUACGGGAGGCAGCAGUGAGGAAUUUUGGUCAAUGGGGGAAACCCUGAACCAGCGACGCCGCGUGUGGGAUGAAGGGGCUCUGCCCUGUAAACCACUGUUGAGAGGGAAGAAAAGCUUUUUUAAAAGCUGGGACUGUACCUCUUUAGAAAGGAUCGGCUAACUACGUGCCAGCAGCCGCGGUAAUACGUAGGAUCCAAGCGUUGUCCGGAAUUACUGGGUGUAAAGGGUGCGUAGGCGGGCUUGUGCGUCAGAGGUUAAAUCCCACGGCUCAACCGUGGAGCUGCCUUUGAUACGGCAAGUCUUGAGUGUGAGAGAGGAUGGUAGAAUUCUUGGUGUAGCGGUGAAAUGCGUAGAUAUCAAGAGGAAUACCAGUGGCGAAGGCGGCCAUCUGGCUCAUUACUGACGCUGAGGCACGAAAGCGUGAGGAGCGAACAGGAAUAGAUACCCUGGUAGUCCACGCCCUAAACGAUGUAUGCUUGGUGUUGGGAAGCAAUUCUCAGUGCCGAAGGAAACCCGUUAAGCAUACCACCUGGGGAGUACGAUCGCAAGGUUG
RNAcentral lists this ribosomal RNA (773 nucleotides) under uncultured bacterium. RNAcentral's name for it is "bacterial SSU rRNA". It matches the Rfam family "Bacterial small subunit ribosomal RNA", at positions 105 to 896 of the family's 1533-position model. The record is from RNAcentral.